Long non-coding RNA from Symphalangus syndactylus (siamang), 774 nucleotides. RefSeq lists it as uncharacterized. The record is from RefSeq and is a predicted model, not a curated record. Lineage: Eukaryota; Metazoa; Chordata; Mammalia; Primates; Hylobatidae.
CCUGUCUCUUGCUUUCCUCCCACCCGGAUCUAGGCGCGCAGGGGCCAAGCAGGGACGCAGCCUAGUGGCUCCAGCCGCGCCGUCCUGCCCCCUCCUCCCGCAGAAACUGAUGCUCUGAGAGGCCAAGCAGUUUGCCCAAGAUUACACAAAUAAUUUGAGUCUAAUAGUGGAGCUAAAAAAUACAGAAAUUAUAGUGCAAGGUGGAAUGUGAAAAAGAUCACAUGAGUGAGAAUCUCACAUUCCAUUGAGAAAAGGACAAGGAAACAGAUCAUCUCAAUAGUGAGGUGUCAUUUGAUGACUGCAAUGAAGCCAUCAAGGCAGGCUCCUUGGAAGAGGCAGUACAUGAACUACAGAUGGAGUCUCACUGUGUCACCCAGGCUGGAGUGCAGUGGAGCAAUCUUGGCUCACUGCAACCUCUGCCUCCCAGGUUCAAGCGAUUCUCUUGCCUCAGCCUCCCGAGUAGCUGGGACUACAGGCAUGCAGCACUAUGUCUGGCUAAUUUUUUGUAGUUUUAGCAGAGACGGAGUUUCACCUUAUUAGCUGGGCUGAUCUCGAAUUCCUGACCUCGGAUGAUUCACCUGCCUCGGCUUCUCAAAGUGCUAGGAUUUCAGGUGUGAGCCACAGCAGCUGGCCUCUUCUUACCUUUUUCUGUUUCCAAAACCUCUUCGAAAUGCAUUAAUCUUCUUGUGUUAUCAAUUCUCCUCAGCUUCUAAUCAUCAAUCACUUUAUGGUAAAGAUACAAAACAUCUAAAUAAAAAUAAUUUUUAAAUUCAA